CCUACGGGGGGCAGCAGUGGGGAAUAUUGGACAAUGGGCGAAAGCCUGAUCCAGCCAUGCCGCGUGUGUGAAGAAGGCCUUCGGGUUGUAAAGCACUUUCAGUGGGGAAGAAAGCCUUGGGGCUAAUACCCUCGAGGAAGGACAUCACCCACAGAAGAAGCACCGGCUAACUCCGUGCCAGCAGCCGCGGUAAUACGGAGGGUGCGAGCGUUAAUCGGAAUUACUGGGCGUAAAGCGCGCGUAGGCGGUCUGAUAAGCCGGUUGUGAAAGCCCCGGGCUCAACCUGGGAACGGCAUCCGGAACUGUCAGGCUAGAGUGCAGGAGAGGAAGGUAGAAUUCCCGGUGUAGCGGUGAAAUGCGUAGAGAUCGGGAGGAAUACCAGUAGCGAAGGCGGCCUUCUGGACUGACACUGACGCUGAGGUGCGAAAGCGUGGGUAGCAAACAGGAUUAGAUACCCUUGUAGUC
RNAcentral lists this ribosomal RNA (465 nucleotides) under Vreelandella stevensii. RNAcentral's name for it is "partial 16S ribosomal RNA". It matches the Rfam family "Bacterial small subunit ribosomal RNA", at positions 338 to 795 of the family's 1533-position model. The record is from RNAcentral. Lineage: Bacteria; Pseudomonadati; Pseudomonadota; Gammaproteobacteria; Oceanospirillales; Halomonadaceae.